CGGGGUGUGGCUCAGUUGGUAGAGCGCUGCUUUUGGGAAGCAGAGGUCAUGAGUUCGAAUCUCGUCACCCCGA
Molecule: transfer RNA, 73 nt
Filed under: Candidatus Woesebacteria bacterium
Lineage: Bacteria; Candidatus Woeseibacteriota
Also listed under: 1 other name
Description: tRNA-Pro
Rfam family: tRNA
About the family: Transfer RNA (tRNA) molecules are approximately 80 nucleotides in length. Their secondary structure includes four short double-helical elements and three loops (D, anti-codon, and T loops). Further hydrogen bonds mediate the characteristic L-shaped molecular structure. tRNAs have two regions of fundamental functional importance: the anti-codon, which is responsible for specific mRNA codon recognition, and the 3' end, to which the tRNAs corresponding amino acid is attached (by aminoacyl-tRNA synthetases). tRNAs cope with the degeneracy of the genetic code in two manners: having more than one tRNA (with a specific anti-codon) for a particular amino acid; and 'wobble' base-pairing, i.e. permitting non-standard base-pairing at the 3rd anti-codon position.
Source: RNAcentral